UUGGAGGGCAAGUCUGGUGCCAGCAGCCGCGGUAAUUCCAGCUCCAAUAGCGUAUAUUAAAGUUGUUGCAGUUAAAAAGCUCGUAGUUGAAUUUCGGGAUUGACACAUCGGUCAUGCCUUAAGGGGUAUGAACUGGUGUAGUCAAUUUCUCACCUUCUGGAGAACCGCGAUGCCCUUAAUUGGGUGUCGCGGGGAACCAGGACCUUUACUUUGAAAAAAUUAGAGUGUUUAAAGCAGGCAUUUUGCUUGAAUACAUUAGCAUGGAAUAAUAAAAUAGGACGGCAUGAUUCUAUUUUGUUGGUUUCUAGGAUCACCGUAAUGAUUAAUAGGGAUAGUUGGGGGCAUUAGUAUUCAAUUGUCAGAGGUGAAAUUCUUGGAUUUAUUGAAGACUAACUACUGCGAAAGCAUUUGCCAAGGAUGUUUUCAUUAAUCAAGAACGAAAGUUAGGGGAUCGAAGACGAUCAGAUACCGUCGUAGUCUUAACCAUAAACUAUGCCGACUAGGAAUCAGACGGUGUUAAUUUUUUAAUGACUCGUUUGGCACCUUACGGGAAACCAAAGUGUUUGGGUUC
This 571-nucleotide ribosomal RNA is filed under the name uncultured Glomeromycotina. Its description in RNAcentral is "SSU rRNA". It matches the Rfam family "Eukaryotic small subunit ribosomal RNA", at positions 548 to 1114 of the family's 1831-position model. The record is from RNAcentral. Lineage: Eukaryota; Fungi; Glomeromycota.